AGUUCAAGCCAGGUAUUAGUUCUGAAUUUUAUUUUAUUAGCCCAAAGAAGGUUCUUUAAGCUUUUCUUCUCAGUUUAGCCACUCAGAUCUCAGAAUGCAGCUUACAUGCUGGCAGCCCUGUCCUCAGAGGAGUGAUUUGUUAAUAGAAUAUUCAGUCUGUUAUUUCUCUGACAAAAGAAUCCCCCCUUCUCUGCCACAACCCCUUGUGUCAGAGGUGUUAAUGUUAAUGGCAGUACUUUUCUGAUUACAGUUCUGCAUUGGUUUAAAGGGUCUUGCAAAUAAGUCUGAUCUCCCUGCAAUAAGGAAAGGAUAAAAUGGGCCAGAUUUCUGGCAGCACAUUUUGCUGUGGGAAAGGGGAUUUCCUCAUUCUCUGUGUCCAGCCAGGCCCCUCUCCAGGCCAGCUUUGCUGGGAUGGCAGCUGUGGCUUUUCCUGUUGGCCAGGCAGAGGACAUUGAAUGUUCUCCCUGCUGGUCCCUGCACAGAGGGGAACAGGCAGGGCCCAGGCUGGGCUCAGGGCAGAAAGGAUGCUCUGCUGAUAAGGCAAUGGGGUCUGCAGCCUCCAGGGAAACCUGCCAAAACCUUUCUCUAGCAACUGUGGGGAUUAGCCAAAAAUCAAUAGUAAAGGCAGUCACCAGGGGAAGGGAAAAUGCAUCUUCGAGGGAAGCCAAAUUCUGUCAAUGCUCCAUGAGAGCAAUCAUGGCAGGAUUUAGGGCAAUUGUGAGGCAAAUCACAUUGAGGAAAAUUGUUUGAAAAGAGACCCUGAGCUGGCAAUAAGGACCAUAUGUUCUUUCUUAUCUCUGCAGAAGUGGCCAUCUUUUUUAGCAUAGUGACCCAUGUGAGUGGCUGCCACAGUCUUGAUUUUUAGCAUCUACAAACACACUUGUAGUGAAAAUAAUAAAUUGCCUUAAAUGAAUAUGUCCCAUCAGUUUUUGUGGCUUUAGCCUCGUUUCACCUCUACUGGACUGUGAAGUGUGUCAUUGUAAUCUGCAACUUGCAGGAACAUUGGGACAGAUUUCCUGAAGUCAGUGGAACUCUCUCCUGUUAUGGCAGAGGUGAUUUUGGCUCAUCUAUCGCUGUGUUCUCCCACCCAGGUGGGCUGGAGUGGAUGAUGCCAUCUCCUCUGUUAAACACCAGUUUGGUUUGUCUGUGUUUUAACACUUCCUCCUUCCAGAAAAGCAGUGGUUGCUCUGAGCCCUGAAAUCUCACUUUGGCUGCAGUGCUGUUCAAUCAGGAAUAUCAGCUCUCAAAGGGAGCCCCUUAAUUAUGCCAUUUAACUCUGCCUUAAUAACUGGGUCUGGGUAGGACUUCAGAAACUCUGACUUUCAUUUCAUUUCUAGGGGCAGGAUUGGUACUCAAGUCACUUCACUGUACUGUCCAGGAGCAUCAGCCUUCAGGCUGCCAUGUGUUCAGAUUCACCUUCAUAUCAUCUUCAUUUAUGAAGAUGAUAAGAAAUGCAUCUACCUCCUCAAAACUGGUGACCUGUGAGGCUUUUCUGUGGCCUUUUAAAAUGUCGGCUUCCACACAAUGAGUGGGAGUUUAUAGAAUGUAAAACUUGCUGUUUUGGGAGACAUCCACAUGCUGUUAAAAAACCCUUCAAGUACAUCUUAGAAGGGGCAAGGAAUUGUGGUUUAUUUUAUUUUAUUUUGCCAUGAUUGUAUCAAAUCAAACAAAUUAGCAGCCAGCAGUGUGAGGAGCAGCUGCUCCAUCCAGCUCUGCCUUCCCAGACCUGUGCCAUUAGCACUCCUCCUUUCCUUUGUCUUUCCUCCCUCUCUCCAGUGUUCCUUUCAAAGGUUAUUAAGUAAAAUCAAUUUCAGCCUUCCCUUAGCCUAAUGCUUUCCAAUUUUUCUCUUCCCUGGCUCAUGUGUCUCAUCCUACAGGGAUAUUCCUGUCUCCAUUUUAACCAGCUCCUCGUUUGAAGUGCUUUCCUGAAGUCCAGGCUGAUGAGAAAAGUGAUUCUUCUAAGUAUAGGAUUCCAGGUGUUUGAAGAUGCUUGUAAAUCAUCCCAGCAGGAAGACCAAGCAUCAUAGUAUUCAGAGCGUUCACUUGGCCAGAAUAUUCCCCUGCAGCUCUGGGGAAGAGGGAGGUUGGGAAGUAAUCCUAAUGGAGAGACAAGAAGUGAAGAGCUACAGUCCAACCUCAGCUGAGGGGUACAGAGAGCCCUGAGCAUGAAACUUGCUGCAGAUCUGGAGGAAGAUGGAUGUGUUCCAUCUCCACCCAGCUGGGGCAGGCUUUUCCCAGGGAAAAAUAGCAGGAAUAUCAAAGGAUCAUAUUAGUUAGGAAAGAAGCAAGCAGCCUCAACAUGAAUUUUGUGUUUGCUGUGGUGUGAAGAGAAACACUGUGUUGGUGGUGGCAGUGAAGAUGAAUUUUGGGGAUGCAGGUAAGAUGUCCCAAUGCUUCCAUGUUCUCCAGGGAUGGCAGUCUGCAGGUCACAAUCCUGCUCUGGGGCUAGGGGAAUGGAUAGAGGGAAAAACCCCAAUCUCUAACAGGUCAGAUCCUGAGAACUGAGUGGUAAUUCCUGCAGAGUCAGUGGUAGGGAUCUCUCUGGGAAUAAAUGCUUGGAAAUUGCUGUUCAGUGCUUUCCUGCCACACAUCCCUCCUUUGUGAAGCUGGAUCCAGGCCUGAUCAGCAGCUGGUCACUGAGCACCUGCCCCAGUGCAAAAUGGCCAAGUUUAUCUAGAGAGCUGAGAAGCUGCAGCAAGUCACCCUCACUAUCCUGACUGCAGAGUUUGCAGGGCUCUGGAGCUCUGGGAUAUGGCUGGAAUUGUGCUCCAGGAAAAUGUUACCCCUGGAACAGCUCUGUUAACCUCUAGCAGCCUCUUGAAAGCUGCAGUGCUGGCCCAGGCAUUCAGUGCAAACAAAGCACAAGCUGCUGUAGCACAUUUGUGCCAGGGUUUCCUGAUUCCAAGUGCAGUCAGAUAUGGCCUAAAAUGAACCAUUGUUGUAACAAUGACAAGAGAGGCUGGGGUGAAAAUCAUGUUAUUUCCUUUGGAAAGAAAAGAGUCCUAUUUUUAACUAUUUUCCCCUUAAUCUUACUAUUUUGUUCUAGCAAUGUUUAUAGCAGAGAGCACAAUACUUCUUGUUGUGAUUGUUCUUUGUGUGACUGGGAUAUAAGUAGAUGUUCUGCAGCAAAUUCUCUGUCUGGGAUACAGAGUCCAAAGAGAUUAUGCUGCAGGAAGUUCUAAAAAAAACCCCAAACCCUUACACAAUCCCCCACUCACUCCCUCCAAAAAGCCAUAACCCAAACAAAUAAAAACCCUGAAAGAUUGUCAUAGUUCCAAAAUAACCACAAAAAAUGUGUGCUGGGCUUAAAACAGAAGUCUGGGGGAAAUGAUUGUCAGAUCCCUGGGUGCAUUUGAGAGCUGAUUUAUGUACAUGAAGCAGAAAAUGAGAAACACACACUUGGGCUGUGCUUGUGUGUUCUCACUGAGACAAAUGAGCAGCUCCCCUCAUUCUUUGUUUCCCCAUCUUCAUUAGAUCUGAUCUUCCCUUCUGCAUCCACUAAUCCUCACCAAAAUGGCUGGAAAGAGCUUCUCUGGUGCUCUGGAGAGUUUUCCUGAGAUUAUUUCUACUACUCCAGCAAGCUCAGUAGAGUUAUUGGAUGCUCAAAAGGACUUUUUGGUCUGGACUUUACAAAUAUGGACCCUGUUCAACAGUAAGUAGGCAGCAGAGAGGAGAGGGACUGCUCCCUGUCGCCUGAAACAAACUUUUAUUUCAAACAGUUCUUUGAAACCAGACAUUGGUAAAAGAUAAAAAAAAUCACAGGUGCUUUAUCAAGAUGUCCUUCUGCCUCAGCCCUUUGCUCUCGUUGAUGUAUCCACAGCCAUCUAUGCACAAAUUACAAAUAAUUUAUCAGGCUAUGAUCCUUUCCAUGAUUUUGCAGGAUGCUGCCUGAAGGAGAGAGCAGAGCUGGAGGCUUGUGGUGAGUGGGUGAUGUAUGAAAGGGGCUUGUGGCAGUGAGCAAGGGUGGAGCACAACUCACAAAUGAGAGGGAAGCAGAUUUUCAGCAGCUCUGUGCCAUUGUUUGGAUAAUGUGUUUUACUGAGGUUUUGAUAAAACUGGUAUUUAAAGGAAAAUCCCCAAAUCCAACCCCAUCAUGGAAACCAGCUGGUUAUUGCAAGAUGAUUUGUGUAAGUGGACAAACUGGGAGGUGCAGCUUCUUUGGAUAAUUUUGUGCUCUGAUCUGAGAAACCUUCAGGCAUCUCACCUACAGACUUGGCUCUUUUAUCCUAAUAUUUAGCCCUUCCAGAAUUUCUUUUGCCUAAGGAGUUCAAAGCUUUUUGUAGAGUUUUCUUUGUCAAGACACAAGACUUGUGAGAAGGUGGUGGAAAGCAGGAACACUGCUGGAAGGUCCUGGAUGUUCCCCUCGUGGUUUCCCUGCCCCUUUGGCUGCCAGCAGCAGGGAAUGGGAAUUCUUUUGGGAUGUGGCAACUCUGACUCUUAUUUUUGAGUUCUUUUCCACAGAACCAUCUUCCAGGGUGAAUUUUAUUUUCAUUUAGGGUUCAAUCGAGUGCAGUCACAGGUAAGCAGUGCAGAGUUCAGCUGGGUGCCCUCCCAGCUGAAUGGGAUUUUGGGAUUUUCCACAGUUUGGAAUUGCUGUCUCUGAGUGAGGGUGGGAUGGCAGAGAGCCCUGAGCUGGGUGUGGUGCUGCCUGUGAGGUGUCUGAGAGAGAGCUGACUGCUGCACAAACCUGCACAGCUUUUUCCCAGUUACCCUUCACACAACAUUGAAUAUUACCCAGGGGUUGUGAGGCUGGUUGGGAACUGAGGGCAUUUCUGGGCAACACUGAGCUGCCUUUCAGUGGGAAGGGAGGAGAGGGAGCUGUGGGAGCAGGAGGGGCUCUGUGCCAGGGCUCAGGGUCAGGAACAAGCUGGAGCAGGCACACAGGUACCCAGGCAGCUCCAGCAGCAGAGUUCAGCUCAGCCUCAGCUUGCUGGGCCUGAAUUAAAUCAGCAUUUACAGAGCACCAGGAGAAGGAAGGAUUCACCCAGGGAUAAACUGUGAGGGAUGCAGGAGCUCUCACUGCCCUGGGAAGCCUCACAGCUCUGCAGUAUCACAGAUUUUGUGAACCCAUGAGUAGGUGUGUGUCAGGAGUGGAGAUUUGCAGUGGCACCAUGAGCAGCCCCUGUGUGUCACACAGAUGAACUGCAGCACUUUGGGCUGGAAUUCUGCUGAGCAAUGGCAGCAGUCUCAUUUUUGGUUAGAAAACUCAAAAAUAUCCCAAUGCUUCCAUGUUCUCCACAGAUGGCAGUUUGCAGGGCUGGGGCUAAGGCGAAUGGAUUGAUUAAAAAACCCCAAUUUCUAACAGGUCAGAUCCUGAAAACUUUAAAAAGGACCUAAGAUCCUGAGAACUGCAAACAGGACCCCAAACUGGUCCUUUUCCAGUGCUGCUGCCUCACACACACUCAGCUGUUUGUGUGGCUGAUGUGAGAGCUCAUUGCUGGAGUAGAUUUAUCUUGGUUUACCUGAUCUGGGAUGGUGCCCUUGGCAAUUCCAGCCCCUUGGGGAUAAAGGUGUCACAGGAUGGAGCUCCCCAGGACAGAGCUUAAUCAGAAUAUCACACACCAAAAGCUGAUUUUUGAUUGCUUGCUUUUACUACUUAUUACAAACAUACUUUGUGUGUCUUUCACCCAUCUACAAAAAUGUAGGAUGCAUGGAAGACACAUGACAAAGUACAGCAAGUUCCCCUGAGAAGCAGAAGGCGUUUCUGGAAUUUCUCAUGUAGGAGUUCAAAAUCGGGAACGCUUGAUUUGAUCCUGACCUUGUGCUCCAUUUGCUUUGGC
Long non-coding RNA from Melospiza melodia melodia, 5780 nucleotides. RefSeq lists it as uncharacterized. Lineage: Eukaryota; Metazoa; Chordata; Aves; Passeriformes; Passerellidae. The record is from RefSeq and is a predicted model, not a curated record. The transcript is spliced from 4 exons.